This is a long non-coding RNA of Chlorocebus sabaeus (green monkey), 777 nucleotides long. RefSeq lists it as uncharacterized. The record is from RefSeq and is a predicted model, not a curated record. NCBI's taxonomy places the organism in Eukaryota, Metazoa, Chordata, Mammalia, Primates, Cercopithecidae.
UCCUGUCACAACCUCCGGAGCAGCUGGGAGUACAGGCGCGAACCAUCAUGCCUGGCUACUUUUUUUAUUUUUUAGUAGAGACAGGGUUUCACCAUGUUGGUCAGGCUCGUCUGGAACGCCUGCCCUCGGGUGAUCCGUCCGCAUCAGCCUCCCAAAUGCUGGGAUUACAGAUGAAGAAACUGAGGAUGGGAGGGCCGCUCCCUUGCCCACAGUCAUGUAGCUGGCCUAGGAUGGAUGUGGAAUCCUGCCCCAGCAGUGGUGAUAUUAUUAUACCCAUGUUACAGAUAUAGAAGACUGAGGCUCAGCAUGGGUACCUUGCCAUGAUCACACAGCUAGAGGGUAAGAGGGGCUGGCUCUGCCUCCUAUGCCACUCCUGAUCCACUCUCUAAUCCCUCCUCCAGUCCCCUGCCCCAAGCCAUCAGUUAGGAUGAUUCUUAUAGCCAGAGGUGUGACAUGCCAAAGAUGUCUCUUUACCCCAUACACUCACUCUGGAACCAGGACAAGGUUUCAGUGAGGUGGACCUGGGUUCUAUCUGGACCAGGGACUUUGCCUCCAAGCUCAUUUCCUCAUCUGUAAAACAGGGAUCCAAACAACUGUCAGCCUGAAUGGGCUGUGGUGGGGUCCUGAGGGGGUUAGGACCUUGCAUCUAAAUGGGGAGACCCCAGAAGUCAGGCCUGGAGUCUGCCUCCCUGCUGGGUAGCCUCAGGCAUGUACAUCUUUGUCUCCACCUCAUGGAGUCACUGUGAGAAUAAAAUGAACAUCAGAUCUUGGCACAGA